This 1284-nucleotide long non-coding RNA is filed under the name Piliocolobus tephrosceles (Ugandan red Colobus). Its description in RNAcentral is "lncRNA (ENSPTEG00000004087.1)". Lineage: Eukaryota; Metazoa; Chordata; Mammalia; Primates; Cercopithecidae. The record is from RNAcentral.
AUAAAAAAACAAAUGAUACAAAAAGUAAAAAUAAUAGAUUUGAAAAAAAAGAGGAUAACAACAAUACAAAUAAAAGAAGAAAAUUAAUAGAAUUAAAUAAAAAGGAAAACUUUUAUCUUAUUGAUAAUUAUAUUACUAUAAAAAAAAAUAAUGAUAGUGUAAGUUGUAAAAAAUUUAACACUUUUAAAAAAAGUAACGAUAAAGUUUCAACUAAUUCGAUGUUAACUAAUUCUAUAACAAAAUACAAUAGAACAAACAAAUCUGAUACACCUAGUAUAUUCAAUUUUUUAACAAUUAAACAAAAAAAUGUCCAAAAAAAAGAUGAUACUUGUGAUACGUGCAAAUUGGUAACUACUACUACUACCACCACUACUACCACUACUACUACUACUACUAGUAGUAAUAAUAAUGACAAUAUAACAUUAAACACGAAUGAAAAGGAAAAAAAAAUAAAAAAUAAAAUUAAUAAUAAAGAUAGUAAUAAUAGUAAUAACAUAGAUUACAGUAAAAAUGAAAAUAUAAAUAACGAAGUAAACAAAAAUAACAAACAAACUUUACCUGAUAAUACAAAAGAUAUAUCUUUAAACGAACAAGAAAAAAAUAAAAAAAAUAUAAUAAUAUUUAAUAAAAGUAAACAAGAAAAUAUAAGCAAUAUAGAAAAUAAUACAACUGAAAAAAAAAAAAUAAAAGCAAAAAUAAAAAACAAAUCAAAUGAUGUUAAAGGAAAGGAAGAUAGUCCACUUAGAAAUGUGCAUAAUGAUGUACAUGAUAGUGAUACAAAUGUGGGUGUACAUAAUUAUGUAUAUAAUAGCAAUAGUAAUAAUAAAGAUAAUAAUAAGAGAGGAGCUGUCAAAACAUGUGCUAAAAAAAAUAACAAAAUAAAUAAAAUUGAUGAACUGUUUAAAAGUAUGAUGCAAAAUAAUAAAAAAAAAGAAAUCAUAAGUUAUGAAAAUAGUAACAACGAUUUCGAUAAUACAAAUUCAGAAAAAAAUGGUAUUAACAAAGAUUUAAGUGAUAUUAAUAAUUCCAUUAAAAAACAAAAGAAGGUAUGUCAAAAAAAUAUUAAUGAUAUACUGGGACAUACGACAGAUGUUGACAGCAAAAGUGAUGAUACAAGUGAAAGUAUUCGUGAUAAUCAAAAUAAUUAUAAGUUAGACAGCAAUAAUUAUGACAUAAAUAAUGAUGGUAACGAAUUAAAAAUUGAAACAACUAAUAAAACAGGCGAAAGUAAUAAAAGAAAAAAGGUUAUUACACCAGAAAAUAAUAUAAAUAACAACAACAAAC